This is a ribosomal RNA of 1633 nucleotides. It matches the Rfam family "Bacterial small subunit ribosomal RNA". The record is from Rfam.
AUAUAGAUGAGUUUGGUGAUGGCUCUGAAUGAAUGCUGUCCAAAUGCUUGACACAUGCUAAUCGAACGAUUAAUUUAAUGAAGAAUUUAAUUAAUAAGUGGUGUACAGGUGAGUAUAUGAUAUUUUCACUACCUUAAAGUGAGGGAUAAAAUCCCACAUAAUAAUAAAGGCUUAUAAAGCCGCUUUAGGAUGAAGAUUAAUAUCGUCGAGAGAGGUAGUAGUAAAGGUAAUGUCUUCACUAGCCUUAAAAUCUCGUAACCGUAACUGAAAGGUUGAUCGGUCACAUUGGGUCUGAAAAAAGCCCAAUGCAAAAUAGGUACAGCAGUGGGGAAUUUUGGUCAAUGGCCUAACGGCUGAACUGGCAAUUUGGGUAAACGAAAUAGAAUUGUAACUACUAAAAUAAAGUUUUAAGUACGUAUUAAUAAUGAUAAUAUGUAUACUAGUCUUGACUAAUUACGUGCCAGCAGUCGCGGUAAUACGUAAGAGACGAGCAUUAUUCAUAUUAAAUAGGUUUAAAGGGUACCCAGACGGUCAAAAUACCUUAAUUCAAAGGAGUACUUGACUAGAGUUAUAUGUGAGAAGACCGUACUUGAGGUGGAGAGAUUAUAUUCUGUGAUACCAAAAGGACUGAUAAAGGCGAAGGCUGUCUUUUAUGUAAUAACUGACGUUGGAGGACGAAGGCAUAGAGAACAAACAGGAUUUGACACCCUAGUAGUCUUUGCAGACAAUGAUGAAUGCCAUGGACUAGGUAUGGAAUUUUAUUUUUAUGUGUAAAUGAGUGCCUACUUCGUAGGCACAAAAUUUCGGAUUUAGAAGAAGCUAAAGAGUAAAGAUAAAAUUUAGUCUUUAGAAGAAACUGAGGAGUAGAGGUAAAAUUCAGCCUUACAUGUAAGGCAAGGUACUAGACAUCGGAAUAUAGUCUAUAUAUGAAAAUGUCUUAAACCCUAAACUUAGUCUAUAAAUGAAAAUGAAAGCAUUUCACCUCAAGAGUAAUGUGGCAACGCAGGAACUGAAAUCACUAGGCCGUUUCUGACACCAGUAGUGAAGUAUGUUAUUUAAUUCGAUGAUCCACGAAAAACCUUACCAUAACUUGAAUAUCUAGUUCCUAGAUACAGGAGUUGCACGGCUGUUUACAGUUAAUGUUGUGAAACUGUGGUUUUGCCAUGGAAUUAACGGAAUCCUUUGCUUUAUUUAUAGAAUAUUUUAUAAAGCAAUCUUUCUUUAUAGCGGAAAAGAUAAGAAGGAAUAAGACAAGUCAUCAUGGCCCUUAUGUUAUGGGCUAUAGACGUGCCACGUAGUCCUUAACAAAGAGAUGCGAAAAUGCGAAUUUUAGCUAAUCUCAAAAAAAAGGAUAUAAAUUAUACAAGGAUUGUAGUCUGAAACUCGACUAUAUGAAUAAGUAAUUACUAGUAAUCGUGAAUCACCAUGUCACGGUGAAUUUCAUCUCGGAUUGGUACUAACCACUCGUCGCAUGCUGAAAGGAGUUUACGCAAUAAGUUUGCUCUUCUGUUAUAAUCUCUUUUAUAAAUUGGAUUAUUAUAUUAUAAUGGGAUUCUUCGUAUGCGUUAUUCUGAUUAGUGUUAAGUCGAAAUAUGGUUCGUGUAGCGGAAGUUGCACGGGGUUAUUAAACUUA